RNAcentral lists this ribosomal RNA (891 nucleotides) under Flavobacterium sp. RNAcentral's name for it is "bacterial SSU rRNA". It matches the Rfam family "Bacterial small subunit ribosomal RNA", at positions 70 to 965 of the family's 1533-position model. The record is from RNAcentral. Lineage: Bacteria; Pseudomonadati; Bacteroidota; Flavobacteriia; Flavobacteriales; Flavobacteriaceae.
UAGAGUUAGCUUGCUAAUUUGAGACCGGCGCACGGGUGCGUAACGCGUAUGCAAUCUACCUUUCACAAAGGGAUAGCCCAGAGAAAUUUGGAUUAAUACCUUAUAGUAUUAUAGAGUGGCAUCAUUUUAUAAUUAAAGAUUUAUCGGUGAAAGAUGAGCAUGCGUCCCAUUAGUUAGUUGGUAAGGUAACGGCUUACCAAGACUACGAUGGGUAGGGGUCCUGAGAGGGAGAUCCCCCACACUGGUACUGAGACACGGACCAGACUCCUACGGGAGGCAGCAGUGAGGAAUAUUGGACAAUGGGCGCAAGCCUGAUCCAGCCAUGCCGCGUGCAGGAUGACGGUCCUAUGGAUUGUAAACUGCUUUUAUACAGGAAGAAACAACGCUACGUGUAGCGUCUUGACGGUACUGUAAGAAUAAGGAUCGGCUAACUCCGUGCCAGCAGCCGCGGUAAUACGGAGGAUCCAAGCGUUAUCCGGAAUCAUUGGGUUUAAAGGGUCCGUAGGCGGUUUAGUAAGUCAGUGGUGAAAGCCCAUCGCUCAACGGUGGAACGGCCAUUGAUACUGCUAGACUUGAAUUAUUAGGAAGUAACUAGAAUAUGUAGUGUAGCGGUGAAAUGCUUAGAGAUUACAUGGAAUACCAAUUGCGAAGGCAGGUUACUACUAAUAUAUUGACGCUGAUGGACGAAAGCGUGGGUAGCGAACAGGAUUAGAUACCCUGGUAGUCCACGCCGUAAACGAUGGAUACUAGCUGUUGGGCGCAAGUUCAGUGGCUAAGCGAAAGUGAUAAGUAUCCCACCUGGGGAGUACGUUCGCAAGAAUGAAACUCAAAGGAAUUGACGGGGGCCCGCACAAGCGGUGGAGCAUGUGGUUUAAUUCGAUGAUACGCGAG